Molecule: ribosomal RNA, 465 nt
Filed under: Vreelandella stevensii
Lineage: Bacteria; Pseudomonadati; Pseudomonadota; Gammaproteobacteria; Oceanospirillales; Halomonadaceae
Description: partial 16S ribosomal RNA
Rfam family: Bacterial small subunit ribosomal RNA
Source: RNAcentral
CCUACGGGCGGCUGCAGUGGGGAAUAUUGGACAAUGGGCGAAAGCCUGAUCCAGCCAUGCCGCGUGUGUGAAGAAGGCCUUCGGGUUGUAAAGCACUUUCAGUGGGGAAGAAAGCCUUGGGGCUAAUACCCUCGAGGAAGGACAUCACCCACAGAAGAAGCACCGGCUAACUCCGUGCCAGCAGCCGCGGUAAUACGGAGGGUGCGAGCGUUAAUCGGAAUUACUGGGCGUAAAGCGCGCGUAGGCGGUCUGAUAAGCCGGUUGUGAAAGCCCCGGGCUCAACCUGGGAACGGCAUCCGGAACUGUCAGGCUAGAGUGCAGGAGAGGAAGGUAGAAUUCCCGGUGUAGCAGUGAAAUGCGUAGAGAUCGGGAGGAAUACCAGUGGCGAAGGCGGCCUUCUGGACUGACACUGACGCUGAGGUGCGAAAGCGUGGGUAGCAAACAGGAUUAGAUACCCUGGUAGUC